RNAcentral lists this long non-coding RNA (226 nucleotides) under Vigna radiata. Its description in RNAcentral is "long non-coding RNA (VRAD_LNC018593)". Lineage: Eukaryota; Viridiplantae; Streptophyta; Magnoliopsida; Fabales; Fabaceae. The record is from RNAcentral.
CCCUAAUGUUUCUCUUGGCAUAGAGGAUUGUUUCUGCCAAAGACAUUGUUCAGCUUCCUUCUCCCUUUCUUCAAGUGUAGGAGAAUAUUGUUGCCUUUGACGUUCUACUUCUGCAAGUGAAGGACGAUAUUGUUGUCUUUGACAUUCUCGUAACUACUCACGUUUCCGCAUCUCCUCCAAACUUUUGAUAAAUGACAUAUUCAUAUCCGACAUCCGCUGACAAAAU